This is a regulatory RNA element of Oceanobacillus picturae, 114 nucleotides long. It matches the Rfam family "TPP riboswitch aptamer (THI element)". Rfam says of the family: Vitamin B(1) in its active form thiamin pyrophosphate (TPP) is an essential coenzyme that is synthesised by coupling of pyrimidine and thiazole moieties in bacteria. The record is from Rfam. NCBI's taxonomy places the organism in Bacteria, Bacillati, Bacillota, Bacilli, Caryophanales, Bacillaceae.
GAAGACUACUAGGGGGGCCCGAUUAUGGCGGGCUGAGAGGUUAGCACAUGAGCUACCGACUCUUAUGAACCUGAUCUGGUUAAUACCAGCGGAGGGAAGUAGUGGACGUACAAG